AUUGAACGCUGGCGGCAUGCUUUACACAUGCAAGUCGAACGGUAACAGGCCGCAAGGUGCUGACGAGUGGCGAACGGGUGAGUAAUGCAUCGGAACGUGCCCAGUCGUGGGGGAUAACGCAGCGAAAGCUGCGCUAAUACCGCCUACGAUCUAUGGAUGAAAGCGGGGGACCGUAAGGCCUCGCGCGAUUGGAGCGGCCGAUGUCAGAUUAGGAAGUUGGUGGGGUAAAGGCUCACCAAGCCGACGAUCUGUAGCUGGUCUGAGAGGACGACCAGCCACACUGGGACUGAGACACGGCCCAGACUCCUACGGGAGGCAGCAGUGGGGAAUUUUGGACAAUGGGGGCAACCCUGAUCCAGCAAUGCCGCGUGCAGGAAGAAGGCCUUCGGGUUGUAAACUGCUUUUGUACGGAACGAAACGGCUCUGGUUAAUACCUGGGGCUAAUGACGGUACCGUAAGAAUAAGCACCGGCUAACUACGUGCCAGCCGCCGCAGUAA
RNAcentral lists this ribosomal RNA (498 nucleotides) under uncultured bacterium. Its description in RNAcentral is "partial 16S ribosomal RNA". It matches the Rfam family "Bacterial small subunit ribosomal RNA", at positions 30 to 523 of the family's 1533-position model. The record is from RNAcentral.